AUGACAACUAUAUAAUUUCCAAACAUGGUGAGGAAGGGAGAGAAGAUGGGGACAUGGGAGAGAAAAUGGGGACAUGGAAGAGAAAUUCUCACCUUCAAUGAUGAGGAGUCAUUGUCUAAAGUUGACACAUGAAGAAAUGGAAGUGUGAGUGUGUUGUGUGUGGAUAUGGAGGAAACGGCCAGAAGAACCACAGCAAAAAGUAAUGAUAUCAAUACUACUGAGUGUUCACCAUGGACCAGGUGCUGUUCUAAGCUUGCUUUGAUUCUCUGAAUCCUUACAAGUCUUACAAGGUAGAUGCUUUAUCAUCAUCCCCAUUUUGUGGAUGAGGAAACCAAGGCACAGAGACGUUAACUGGCUCAAGGUUAGACAACCGGUAAGAGCGGUGGAUCCCCUGGGACAUCUGAAUCCCAGAGGCCUGCUCUUAAAAGUUUUCUGGACGAUGUAGCUGGGGUGGGUUGGGGGAUAAAGACCAUUUCUAUCUUUCUUUAUUCUUCGCUAUUCGUGAUUCCAUUUCCAUUUGCAUGAAUUACUUUGCUUAAACACAUGAACAAGUAAACAAUAAAGAGCAAUGAUUUUGG
This is a long non-coding RNA of Galeopterus variegatus (Sunda flying lemur), 578 nucleotides long. RefSeq lists it as uncharacterized. The transcript has 2 exons. NCBI's taxonomy places the organism in Eukaryota, Metazoa, Chordata, Mammalia, Dermoptera, Cynocephalidae. The record is from RefSeq and is a predicted model, not a curated record.